This 497-nucleotide ribosomal RNA is filed under the name uncultured bacterium. RNAcentral's name for it is "partial 16S ribosomal RNA". It matches the Rfam family "Bacterial small subunit ribosomal RNA", at positions 28 to 507 of the family's 1533-position model. The record is from RNAcentral.
GAUGAACGCUGGCGGCGUGCCUAAUACAUGCAAGUCGAGCGAACAGACGAGGAGCUUGCUCCUCUGACGUUAGCGGCGGACGGGUGAGUAACACGUGGAUAACCUACCUAUAAGACUGGGAUAACUUCGGGAAACCGGAGCUAAUACCGGAUAAUAUAUUGAACCGCAUGAUUCAAUAGUGAAAGACGGUUUUGCUGUCACUUAUAGAUGGAUCCGCGCCGCAUUAGCUAGUUGGUAAGGUAACGGCUUACCAAGGCAACGAUGCGUAGCCGACCUGAGAGGGUGAUCGGCCACACUGGAACUGAGACACGGUCCAGACUCCUACGGGAGGCAGCAGUAGGGAAUCUUCCGCAAUGGGCGAAAGCCUGACGGAGCAACGCCGCGUGAGUGAUGAAGGUCUUCGGAUCGUAAAACUCUGUUAUUAGGGAAGAACAAAUGUGUAAGGAACUAUGCACGUCUUGACGGUACCUAAUCAGAAAGCCACGGCUAACUACGUG